UUAAGUGACUAAGCGUACAGGGCGGAUGCCUUGGCAAUCAGAGGCGAAGAAGGACGUGCUAAUCUGCGAAAAGCUUGGAUGAGUCGAUAAGAGGCGUUUAAUCCAAGAUGUCCGAAUGGGGAAACCCGAUGGAUGAAGAAUCCAUCAUUUCAUUGUGAAUACAUAGCAAUGAAAGGCGAACCGGGAGAACUGAAACAUCUAAGUACCCCGAGGAAAAGAAAUCAACCGAGAUUCUGUGAGUAGCGGCGAGCGAAAGCGGAAGAGCCAGUAAGUUUUAGCUAGUGUAUUAGAGGAAUUGGCUGGGAAGCCAAAUCAAAGAGGGUGAUAAUCCCGUACUCGAAAAUACGAUAGUGGAACUAAGCUUACGAUAAGUAGGGCGGGACACGAGAAAUCCUGUUUGAAGAUGGGGGGACCAUCCUCCAAGGCUAAAUACUCCUGAUUGACCGAUAGUGAACCAGUACUGUGAAGGAAAGGCGAAAAGAACCCCGGUGAGGGGAGUGAAAUAGAACCUGAAACCCUGUACGUACAAGCAGUAGGAGCGAGGGAAACCUUGUGACUGCGUACCUUUUGUAUAAUGGGUCAGCGACUUAUAUUUUGUAGCGAGGUUAACUGAAUAAGGGAGCCGAAGGGAAACCGAGUCUUAACUGGGCGUUGAGUUGCAAGGUAUAGACCCGAAACCCGGUGAUCUAGCCAUGGGCAGGUUGAAGGUUGGGUAACACUAACUGGAGGACCGAACCGACUAAUGUUGAAAAAUUAGCGGAUGACUUGUGGCUGGGGGUGAAAGGCCAAUCAAACCGGGAGAUAGCUGGUUCUCCCCGAAAUCUAUUUAGGUAGAGCCUUGAGCGGACACCUUCGGGGGUAGAGCACUGUUUCGGCUAGGGGUCCAUCCCGGAUUACCAACCCGAUGCAAACUGCGAAUACCGAAGAGUGAUACUCAGGAGACACACGGCGGGUGCUAACGUUCGUCGUGGAGAGGGAAACAACCCAGACCGCCAGCUAAGGUCCCAAAGUCUAUAUUAAGUGGGAAACGAAGUGGGAAGGCUUAGACAGCUAGGAUGUUGGCUUAGAAGCAGCCAUCAUUUAAAGAAAGCGUAAUAGCUCACUAGUCGAGUCGGCCUGCGCGGAAGAUGUAACGGGGCUCAAAUAUAGCACCGAAGCUGCGGCAUCAGAAUUUAUUCUGUUGGGUAGGGGAGCGUUGUGUAAGCGGAAGAAGGUGGCUCGAGAGGGUUGCUGGACGUAUCACAAGUGCGAAUGCUGACAUAAGUAACGAUAAAACGAGUGAAAAACUCGUUCGCCGGAAGACCAAGGGUUCCUGUCCAACGUUAAUCGGGGCAGGGUGAGUCGGCCCCUAAGGCGAGGCUGAAAAGCGUAGUCGAUGGGAAACGGGUUAAUAUUCCCGUACUUGGUAAAGCUGCGAUGUGGGGACGGAGAAGGUUAGGUAAGCGGACUGUUGGAAAUGUCCGUUUAAGUUGGUAGUUGGGAGCGGUAGGCAAAUCCGCUGCUCCAUUCAACAACGAGAGAUGAUGACGAGUUCCUAAGGGAAUGAAGUUACCGAUACCCGGCUUCCAGGAAAAGCCACUAAGCGAAAGGCUUUACUAAACCGUACUGAAAACCGACACAGGUGGUCAGGUAGAGAAUACUCAGGCGCUUGAGAGAACUCGGGUGAAGGAACUAGGCAAAAUAGCACCGUAACUUCGGGAGAAGGUGCGCUUACAGUAAUUGUAGUCCCUCGCGGAUGAAGGUGAAGUAAGUCGAAGAUACCAGCUGGCUGCAACUGUUUAUUAAAAACACAGCACUCUGCAAACACGAAAGUGGACGUAUAGGGUGUGAUGCCUGCCCGGUGCUGGAAGGUUAAUUGAUGGUGUUAUCGAAAGAGAAGCUCCUGAUCGAAGCCCCAGUAAACGGCGGCCGUAACUAUAACGGUCCUAAGGUAGCGAAAUUCCUUGUCGGGUAAGUUCCGACCUGCACGAAUGGCAUAAUGAUGGCCAGGCUGUCUCCACCCGAGACUCAGUGAAAUUGAAAUCGCCGUGAAGAUGCGGUGUACCCGCGGCUAGACGGAAAGACCCCGUGAACCUUUACUAUAGCUUGACACUGAACAUUGAAUUUUGAUGUGUAGGAUAGGUGGGAGCCUUUGAAGCAGUGACGCCAGUCAUUGUGGAGGCGACCUUGAAAUACCACCCUUUAACGUUUGAUGUUCUAACGAAGUGCCUGAAACGGGUACUCGGACAGUGUCUGGUGGGUAGUUUGACUGGGGCGGUCUCCUCCCAAAGCGUAACGGAGGAGCACGAAGGUUUGCUAAUGACGGUCGGACAUCGUCAGGUUAGUGCAAUGGUAUAAGCAAGCUUAACUGCGAGACGGACAAGUCGAGCAGGUGCGAAAGCAGGUCAUAGUGAUCCGGUGGUUCUGAAUGGAAGGGCCAUCGCUCAACGGAUAAAAGGUACUCCGGGGAUAACAGGCUGAUACCGCCCAAGAGUUCAUAUCGACGGCGGUGUUUGGCACCUCGAUGUCGGCUCAUCACAUCCUGGGGCUGAAGUAGGUCCCAAGGGUAUGGCUGUUCGCCAUUUAAAGUGGUACGCGAGCUGGGUUUAGAACGUCGUGAGACAGUUCGGUCCCUAUCUGCCGUGGGCGUUGGAUGAUUGAUUGGGGCUGCUCCUAGUACGAGAGGACCGGAGUGGACGCAUCACUGGUGUUCCAGUUGUCUCGCCAGAGGCAUUGCUGGGUAGCUAAAUGCGGAAGAGAUAAGUGCUGAAAGCAUCUAAGCACGAAACUUGCCAAGAGAUGAGUCAUCCCUGACUUUAAGUCAGUAAGGGUUGUUUAAGACUAAGACGUAGAUAGGUUGGGUGUGUAAGUGUAGUGAUACAUUGAGCUAACCAAUACUAAUUGCCCGAGAGGCUUAACCAU
This 2901-nucleotide ribosomal RNA is filed under the name Pasteurella multocida subsp. septica. RNAcentral's name for it is "23S ribosomal RNA". It matches the Rfam family "Bacterial large subunit ribosomal RNA". The record is from RNAcentral. Lineage: Bacteria; Pseudomonadati; Pseudomonadota; Gammaproteobacteria; Pasteurellales; Pasteurellaceae.